CCUAUCCUUACCCGCAAACGCGCCACACCGCGGUAAGGUCAUAAACCUGUCAUCGUUUACCCGUCGAUCUCGGCGAGGACUCCACACUGGUGUCAGAAGUGGGAUUGAAGUAACUUUUGGAAGUCAAACGAGAUCGCUUUCGAAGGGUAGACUAAAGUAAACUGGUUAACAUAUUUUAUACUUUGAGAUGGCUAAUGAGGCAGACUCGGGGACGAGAGCGGAGACAGCUUCCGGAGGAUCAUUCUCCUCUUUUACGGGGAUGAUCCCCACCUUCGCAGGGGAACCGACGCAGCGCGUCACGGACUAUUUCGAUACGAUUGAGGAGAUAGCUAAUUUAGCGUCGUGGACAGAACGACAAAAAUUAGGAAUCGCAAAAUGUAAACUCUCAGGGAUAGCGAGAGAAUACGCGUGGCGCGACUUUAAGAUUAAAGAUAUAACAGAUUACAAAGGCUUUAAAACGCAG
RNAcentral lists this long non-coding RNA (463 nucleotides) under Androctonus crassicauda. Lineage: Eukaryota; Metazoa; Arthropoda; Arachnida; Scorpiones; Buthidae. The record is from RNAcentral.